This 349-nucleotide signal recognition particle RNA is filed under the name Macaca mulatta (Rhesus monkey). RNAcentral's name for it is "Metazoan signal recognition particle RNA (ENSMMUG00000044265.2)". It matches the Rfam family "Metazoan signal recognition particle RNA". Rfam says of the family: The signal recognition particle (SRP) is a universally conserved ribonucleoprotein. It is involved in the co-translational targeting of proteins to membranes. The eukaryotic SRP consists of a 300-nucleotide 7S RNA and six proteins: SRPs 72, 68, 54, 19, 14, and 9. Lineage: Eukaryota; Metazoa; Chordata; Mammalia; Primates; Cercopithecidae. The record is from Rfam by way of RNAcentral.
GCCAGGCAUGGUACUACAUGCCUGUAGUCCCAGCUACCUGGGAGACUAAAGCAGGAAAAUUGCUUGAGUCCAGGAGUUUGAGGCCACAGUGAACUAUGAACAUGCCACUGCACUCUAGCCUGGGCAACAGGAAAUAGAGUGAGACCCCAUCUCAAAAAAAAAAAAAAAAAGUUCACCAUCAAUAUGUUGACCUCCCAGGAGCAGGAGACCACUAGGUUGCCUAAGGAGAGGUUAAUCGGCCCAAGUCAGAAAAAGAGCAGGCCAAAAAUCCCAUGCUGAUGUGUAGUGGGCUAACACUUGUAAAGCCACUGUGCUCCACCCUGGGCAAUAUAACAAGACCUCAUUUCUU